Molecule: ribosomal RNA, 98 nt
Filed under: uncultured bacterium
Lineage: Bacteria
Description: partial 16S ribosomal RNA
Rfam family: Bacterial small subunit ribosomal RNA
Source: RNAcentral
CACACCGCCCGUCACACCAUGGGAGUUUGUUGCACCAGAAGCAGGUAGCUUAACCUUCGGGAGGGCGCUUGCCACGGUGUGGCCGAUGACUGGGGGUG